This 282-nucleotide long non-coding RNA is filed under the name Fragaria vesca (wild strawberry). RNAcentral describes it as "long non-coding RNA (FVES_LNC000298)". Lineage: Eukaryota; Viridiplantae; Streptophyta; Magnoliopsida; Rosales; Rosaceae. The record is from RNAcentral.
UUGUGUGGAUCGAUGUGUUGUUGAUCAGUCUUGCGGCUUUGUGUUGCUGUUGCCUUAUUGACGAGUGUUGCUGCGACCCCUCUGUCCUCUUCAUCUUCUGAAUCAUCAUCGUUACCAAUGAUAUGCAGAUCGAUUAGUUCAAUGAUAUAUCCCUGCGUACAUAUGCUUGGAUUAGUUCAAUUCCUCCUAUUUAUGUAAUGUGAGAUCUUGCUUGAUAUUGAUUUCUCGUAGUUUUUUAUGUACAAGACUCCUUAAUUAUUAAUCGUCUCCAUUGUCCCUGUA